This 468-nucleotide ribosomal RNA is filed under the name uncultured bacterium. Its description in RNAcentral is "partial 16S ribosomal RNA". It matches the Rfam family "Bacterial small subunit ribosomal RNA", at positions 28 to 507 of the family's 1533-position model. The record is from RNAcentral.
GAUGAACGCUGGCGGCGUGCUUAACACAUGCAAGUCGAACGGAAAGGCUCCUGCUUGCAGGGGUCCUCGAGUGGCGAACGGGUGAGUAACACGUGGGUGAUCUGCCCUGUACUUCGGGAUAAGCUUGGGAAACUGGGUCUAAUACCGGAUAGGACAACUUUUUGGAUAUUGUUGUGGAAAGCUUUUGUGGUAUGGGAUGAGCUCGCGGCCUAUCAGCUUGUUGGUGGGGUAAUGGCCUACCAAGGCGUCGACGGGUAGCCGGCCUGAGAGGGUGUACGGCCACAUUGGGACUGAGAUACGGCCCAGACUCCUACGGGAGGCAGCAGUGGGGAAUAUUGCACAAUGGGCGCAAGCCUGAUGCAGCGACGCCGCGUGGGGGAUGAAGGCCUUCGGGUUGUAAACUCCUUUCGCUAGGGACGAAGCUUUUUUGUGACGGUACCUGGAGAAGAAGCACCGGCUAACUACGUG